This 2581-nucleotide long non-coding RNA is filed under the name Triticum aestivum (bread wheat). RNAcentral's name for it is "long non-coding RNA (TAES_LNC015852)". The stretch from base 786 to 911 matches the Rfam family "MIR1120/MIR1122 microRNA precursor family". The record is from RNAcentral. Lineage: Eukaryota; Viridiplantae; Streptophyta; Magnoliopsida; Poales; Poaceae.
ACAUCCAUGAGCACAAGAUUUCUACUACAUAACACUUAAGCAGCAAAUGGUCCGUAACACGAUUCAUGAUUACAAUUGAGUUGGCUGGUCCAAAAUACUGCAGACAUCCAAAUGCUCCAUAACACUUCAAAGUCAUCACAUACAUGCGUACUAGGUUGCUGAUUACCUGAAAAUACUCUACAAGAAUUUGGAAGAAAGUGCAGUCAGCUCAAGUGCUUUGAAGCUCUCAUAGGGAGAUUGGCAUCCAAGAGAAUCAUAAGAAUCAAGUAUUUAUGACAUAUGUCCAUAACACACAUAAAAUAGUUCUAUCAUACAUGCGGUCAAAUAUUUAUAAAAUGCUGAAAGGAAUCAUCAUGCAAACAUAUCUAGAUAUACAUAGAAUAAGCAUUUCACCAUGGCAGGCAAAUCUACAAAUUUUAUUCAACAUCUUACAUGCAAGAAACUGUAGUAGGAUUAGCCAAUGUGAAGUUGUAUUUGUUCUAAUAGGAAGUUAGCUGAUGUGAUCUUCAAAGUUCGAAAAUAAUUGUACAAUAAUUGUGUUUGUACGUUAUAUGAUGAAGUAGAACGAAAAUGUACAACUUCUGACCAAAUAAAUUGUAGUAUGUUAAGUUCAGUUUAUGCCAUGUUAUCUUCAGAUUGUGACCACCAAAGGCAUAACACCAAACUGAUAUGUGUAUGUUAACUCCUAAGCAAUGUAUGUGCGCUUCAGAUCAUGUUGUGUCAUUUUCAUAUUUUUAAUUAUAAACUACAGUAUGUGGAGUUCAGUUUUAUCAACGAGAUACAAAAUCUUACUCCCACCGUCCGAAAAAGCUUGUCCCUCAAAUGGAUGUAUAUAGCACCAAGUUAGUGCUAGAUACAUUCAUUUGAAAGACAAGUUUGGGACAAGCUUUUUCGGACGGAGGGAGUAUCUAGUAAUGCUAUAAGUUCAGGCAUAAAACUGGCGCUCUAGUCAAGGCUCAAAAUGAUCUAUGCAUAUUUCUAAGAGAGAAACAAUAAACUUAAUGUAUGUAGUAUGUUUUAGUACCUGUACCUCCUGGUACAUUAGUUGCUUUCUUGUCAUCCUUGAUCUACAACAAUAACCGUUACUUCAUAGAAAUAAAUGUUGCCUUCUUAUCAGUUUGAGGCUGCUUCUUUCACCGCAAAUUGCUCUGACAAAAUGUGUAGACAUGUAUCAACCAUCCUUCAAAAAAAUGUGUUCAAUAUAGAUAACUCGGCUUCCCAAAUCAAAUCAUAAAGUAAAGGCCAAAGGUCUGCAAGUUAUGUACUUGGUUAGUAUACUGAAUGAACUUGUCAAAAGAACAAAUAUUAUGCCAGCAACCAGCGUGAACACGAACAUCUCAUAAAAGUAUUGAAAGUCUGAAUCCUGAGACUAUCUAGCCACUGCAUCGAGGCGGUUGACUCUACAGUUGGAAUUCACAUGUCCAAACAAUACGGUGUGAGGCACUAUGAGAAGGUGCCCCUAAUGUUUGAAUGUGAUCGGAACUUGCAAUUUUCCCCUCUGGAAACAGUAUGCAACUUCAAGUAGUUGAAGGUAUGUGGAUGUAGAGGAAGAUGAGAGUAUAUGUUGAGCCUAAGGUUUGAAUGCUAAUGCCAUAUUCAUGCAGAAGGAAAACAACACCGUUCUCACAUAAAAAAUUUAUAUCAAAGACACUGUUAUCCAUAAAUAUCUAGUGUAGAUGAUGCAGAAUAAAAUUGGAAUGUGCCUCCUUAAACACUGAGUAGACUCAGGGUCCACCUCGGCGCCCUCCGCUCCCCACCUCCUCAGCCUUGUUGCCAGGUAGUACCGCAUACUCACUGUCUGCAAGCUCACCAUCAUGUACACCCGCUCCUGCAGCACGAAGCGCGUCGACCCAAAAUUAAACCAUGAAGCAUCAGAAACUAAAUGAUGUUAUAGCACAAACAACAUUCAGUUCUACAGCGAAGUUGAAGCCAACUUGAUAGUUAGCACUAUAUAAUUUAGAAAUAUGUAUUGACAAUCAAAAGUGCUUCCUGUAAAAAAAUAGAGGUUAUGCACCUCCAGGAGCCUCCAUUUGACCACGCCAACUCACCCAAAAAACUGGAAGUCACACAAUGGGUCGUGGCUUUAAAUAACAAAACUGAACCACCUAGAAAUCAGGAAGUCACACAAUGCUAACAACAUAUGAAUUUAACCCAUAUCAAAUGUUAAACGAAUAAUUACUUUCUAAUUUAAAGGAGAUAAAGAGUUCAGAAUAGUAUGAAGAAUAUAUAAAUGAAAAUCAGCUAUGAGACAUGGAUGUCAGAUGGCUCGCUAUGUUUUGUAGCACCAAUCUGUGUAUCCAAAUUGAGAUGCUGAGAAACAUGAAUAAGAACUGUAAAAUCAACAAAUCUUAGCAGAAGAUAUGAAAGUGUUACCCUAAUUUUCAGAGUUCAGCAAUGACAUAUGGUUCAAAGUUCAGCAAUGUACAAGCACACAGCAGUACAUAAAAGGAUAUCUCAGGAGGAGCCGAUGCUUACCUAUUGGAAAAACGAGUGUUGUGCGGAGAUCUGCAGCAACGGACGGCUGCCUUCGCGAGGGGCGCAGCGGGAUGAAGAGCUCGUGGAUGGAUCUCUACCGACUACC